GUAGAAUUUAUAGCAGUCGAUGAGUGUGUCUAUUUGAGAUCUUUAAGUGAAACAUUUAAUCUAAAGUGUCCUUCAACGUGUCUAAUUGUUGUAAACUCGUAUGCAAGGUCACUUUGAGUGGGUGCACUUAGGAAAACAACCACCAUCAGUGUCUCCAUUCAAAGUGAUCUUGAUAUGAAACAUAGAACUCAAUUUGAUAGACAUAACAUGGAGGGUCAGGUAGAAUUUGUAGCAGUCGAUGAGUGUGUCUAUUUGAGAUCUUUAAGUGAAACAUUUAAUCUAAAGUGUCCUUCAACGUGUCUAAUUGUUGUAAACUCGUAUGCAAGGUCACUUUGAGUGGGUGCACUUAGGAAAACAACCACCAUCAGUGUCUCCAUUCAAAGUGAUCUCGAUAUGAAACAUAGAACUCAAUUUUUUAGAUGCAAUCAGGUAGAAUUUGUAGCAGUUGUUGUGUACAACUGGUCCAAGCAAAUGCACUUACUGAAUUCAAGAGACAAGUUCUUGCAUGAGUUGGACCAACAAUACAGACUUGUAAUGAAUGCUCUUCCUUACCAGUGAGUCCGGA
Astatotilapia calliptera (eastern happy) is the source of this 565-nucleotide long non-coding RNA. NCBI's taxonomy places the organism in Eukaryota, Metazoa, Chordata, Actinopteri, Cichliformes, Cichlidae. The record is from Ensembl.